Molecule: small RNA, 90 nt
Filed under: Cricetulus griseus (Chinese hamster)
Lineage: Eukaryota; Metazoa; Chordata; Mammalia; Rodentia; Cricetidae
Source: RNAcentral
UCUCCCAUCCCAGUACUAACCAGGCCCAACCCUGCUUAGCUUCUGAGAUCAGAUGAGAUCAGGCACAUUCAGGGUGGUAUGGCCAUAGAC